UUUUUUUCAACUUUCACAUUCCUCUGCCCUCUUUGGCAUUUGACUGGAGGUAGAGGCACCAAAAUACCCUGAGGAAUGCUGUUUUAGAUUAAUUUCUGACCUUGCUGAUUAACCAGUCUUUCUGAUCUUGGUUAACUCUGUUCAUUUUCAGGCCAAAAACCCACUUGGGCAAGAUUCAAACAAACAUCCAGGCCAGCAGCUUCAAGUGCUCUCAUUCACAAGUGAUCAGUCAGAAAUCUCUCUGCUGGGUUUGGUGGCACUGACAUCAAAGGUUGUUUGUUGGCACCUCCACUGCAGUGUCAGUGGCAGUGUGCAGCAGAAGGAGAUCUCAUCUCUGAGCCAUGCUGGAUUAGGAGGUGGGAGUCAGCACUUCUCUUCCAGCAGAUACCAUCCAAGCUUGACCUCCACCAUCCAGAUCUGCAGUGGCUGCAGGGCAGGUGAAGGGAUCUGCAAAUGUCAUGUGCUGUCAUCUUUCCACUGGCUGGCGUCAGAGCCCUCAGAGGCUCCGUGUUGGGACAGCUUCUCCCAUGGUGACAAAGUCCCUGGAAAUGAGGAGGAAGUUGAACGUGGACAUCACUUCUGCCCUGGAGGUAAAAGCAUCUCCUUGCUGAGAUGGCCUUUUUUCUGGAUACUGUGGUGUUAUGCUUUCUGGUGUCUUGUUUGACACCACAAGGGCAGGGGGGCACUGCUGCCAGGAGAGCCGGAGGCAUCUCCUCCCCCCAACAUUUCUUGGUGAGGAGAGGAGGGGAAGUCACAGAAUCAAAGAACCAUUAAGAUUGGAAAAGACCUUAAAGAUCAUCAAAUCCAG
RNAcentral lists this long non-coding RNA (808 nucleotides) under Junco hyemalis (dark-eyed junco). RNAcentral's name for it is "lncRNA (ENSJHYG00000012688.1)". The record is from RNAcentral. Lineage: Eukaryota; Metazoa; Chordata; Aves; Passeriformes; Passerellidae.